AUAACUAUCACUAAAUUAUGAUAUUUGUAGAUAAUUAUAAUUUGAUUAAACGAAUCAAUAUUCUUUUUGGGAAAACUAAUAAUAGCUGCUAUUGUUUGUAUAGUUGAUUUAUAUUAAGUACUUCUUACAACUGCAAUCCGGCCUAAACAAAAGCAAAUACCGUGUGUAAGUGAUCUAUAUAGCAAUUGAUUUUUAUGCAAACCUGUACAGUCACCAGGACUCAACAUUAGAGGUGGCGACAUACAGUCAGUAUCUAGGAGGCGCCUACCUAUCAAAAAGUGGAUGCCAAAUAUAUAAAUAUCUUAAAAGAUAUUUUCAUUAAAAGUACAAGCAAAGUCAGACAGACAGGCAAAUGCAUAAAAAUCAACAGAGACGUAAGACAAGGUGACCCAUUAUACUUUACCUACCUUAAGUGGUAGGACUUUAAGCAAACUUGUCUUAGUUAGGUACCACUAACUCAUCAGAUAUUGUAUUGCAAAACAGCAAUACUUGGUAUUGUUGUAUUCUGGUUUGAAGGGUGAGUGAGCCAGUGUAAUUACAGGCACAAGGGACAUAACAUCUCAGUUCCCAAAGUUGGAAGUGCAUUGGCGAUAUAAGCGAUGGUUAACAUUUCUUAAGGCUACUAUAGGAUAAAAUAAAGGAUCUACCUUUGUUAACACUAGGAUUGAAUGUAGAUGGAAGGUUCAUGAGUCAUCUUAAGUUUGUAGGCGAUAUUGCUUAGUUGUCAGAAAAUACUAAAAAACUCACUAUUAUAAUAAAUGAUCUACAGGCUGCAAGCAAUCAUGUUAGUUUAGAAAUGAACCUCAGCAAAACAAAAAUCAUAUACUUAUCUUAAUAAACAAUAAGCUUCUUGAAUAUGUACAAGAAUAUAUUUACAACAUGAAAAGAAAUUUAGAAGAAAUAAACAGAAGAAUAGCUCAAUCUGGAAGAAAUUUUGGGCCCACAAAGAGAUUUUAAAAUCUCAGCUCCCAAUGGAAACCAACAAAACUAAGGUGACUAAUGCCAUACUCUUUGCGCAAAUGGUAAAAUGGAAAUAGGCUGGCUGGCUAUCUAGCAAGAUACACUUACAAAAGAUGGACAAUAACAACAUGGAAGGAACCAAAUGGAAAUAAAGAGGCAGAGACUGACAAUGCACCAGAUGGCAAGAUGCCAGUGCAAAUUGCAGGCAGAAACUGGAUUGAGACAGCAAAAGAAAGAGGCAUUUGGCAUUCUUUGAUGGCUUUUACCUGAAGGGGGCCAUGUUAUUACUUUUGUAUGGAAUAGAUAAAGCUUUAUUAUUAUUAUAAUAACUUCUGACAACUCUCAUCAUCAAUGUUGUCAUGAAAGAACAUUUCUAACCAAGAUGAAGUAUUACCUUUAACAGUAAUGUUUGAACUUAAACACAAUAAUGAAUCGAAAAGUUCCUGUAAUAAAUCAAAAAUAUGCAAAAAAAAAAUUACAGAUGUAUUUUAUUUUUCUUAUUCUUCCAAAAAAAUUAAUAUUUUCUUGAUAUAAUAACAAAAAAUCAGCCGCGUCAAAUUUAGUUCCAAGAAUAUCUUUUAAUUUUGCGAGCAAGUGAAUUCAAUAGAGGCUAAGCCGGGAGAAUACGGUGGGUGGUCAAGGUCAACGAAGCCAGCACUGCGCAAUAUGUAAACGCAACUUUCGAUCGAUAAGUAUAUAAGCGUUAUUGUGUAGGAGCAAUACGCCCAAUGUAUAUAAUUGGCCCAGAACAUAAAGCCAAUGUUGGCCCAAUGUAUACUAUACUUUCGAGGCCUAAUAUUCUCUAUUAAUCUAUGAUUCCAUCGACAACUUUAUAAAGUCUGAUAAUUAUAAAGUAGCAAGAAUUAUUUCAAAAACUUAUAAGGAAUUUUGUGUAGACAGCCUUAACUUAAUUAAA
Nymphalis io (European peacock) is the source of this 1876-nucleotide long non-coding RNA. RefSeq lists it as uncharacterized. The record is from RefSeq and is a predicted model, not a curated record. The transcript is spliced from 3 exons. NCBI's taxonomy places the organism in Eukaryota, Metazoa, Arthropoda, Insecta, Lepidoptera, Nymphalidae.